GUAGGUGGCAAGCGUUGUCCGGAUUUACUGGGCGUAAAGAGCGCGCAGGCGGUUGAUUAAGUCGAAUGUGAAAGCCCCCGGCUCAACUGGGGAGGGUCAUUCGAUACUGAUCAACUUGAAGGCAGGAGAGGGUAGUGGAAUUCCCGGUGUAGUGGUGAAAUGCGUAGAUAUCGGGAGGAACACCAGUGGCGAAGGCGACUACCUGGCCUGUUCUUGACGCUGAGGCGCGAAAGCUGGGGGAGCAAACGGGAUUAGAUACCCCGGUAGUCCACGCCGUAAACGAUGAAUGCCAGCCGUUAGUGGGUUUACUCACUAGUGGCGCAGCUAACGCUUUAAGCAUUCCGCCUGGGGAGUACGGUCGCAAGAUUA
RNAcentral lists this ribosomal RNA (369 nucleotides) under uncultured bacterium. RNAcentral describes it as "bacterial SSU rRNA". It matches the Rfam family "Bacterial small subunit ribosomal RNA", at positions 527 to 896 of the family's 1533-position model. The record is from RNAcentral.